UGAAGAAAGCUCGACAGCAAUCUGUGCAGUGCGCAAUGCUUUUCCAGCUCCAGCAAUAAAAAUUCACGUUGGCAAAGGCUUGCUAGCUGAUGUUCAACAAACUGAUUCAUUUAAUAAAUCUUCUAAUAUGUUUACAAGUCAAGCAAAGGUGAUAAAGACUAAUAAAACGUGGAAUGGAAAAGAAAUGUGUUGCACAAGGCAAAGCAACGAUUAUUUUGGUUUUGAAGAUGUGUCAAUAUGCCAAAAUAUCAGUAUGAAAUAUCCGCCCUCGGACCUUUCCAUAUCCGGAAACAAAAUACACGAGUAUAAAAACAAUGUUUCUGUGUGUUUCUUAGUAAUGUCUUGUGAAACCAAUGAAUCAAAUCCGCCUUGCGCAAUUGAAUGGUCAAGCGACAACGAUAAUAUGACAUACGCUCAUAGCAACAACUGGACGAAUGUUGUAAAUGGGAGUUACCGUUCUUUAUCCGAAGUGCUUUACACUGUCACUGAAGACAUGACUGGGGGAACAAUUACUUGUGCAACAAAAUGUGACCAUUUUCCAUCGUAUUUAAAAAAAGACCAUAAAAUAGACUUUUCAAAUUGUCCAACUCUAGCUUUGAACACUACAUCGCCUGUUGAUUUAUGUCCGAAUAAUACAUUGACCGUGAAAUGUGUAAUGAAUUUCUACAAAGCUUUAGAGCAAUGGACGCUUAUCUGGG
Molecule: long non-coding RNA, 698 nt
Organism: Mya arenaria
Lineage: Eukaryota; Metazoa; Mollusca; Bivalvia; Myida; Myidae
Exons: 3
Source: RefSeq, a predicted model, not a curated record